Molecule: long non-coding RNA, 1778 nt
Filed under: Mus musculus (house mouse)
Lineage: Eukaryota; Metazoa; Chordata; Mammalia; Rodentia; Muridae
Source: RNAcentral
GAGAUCUGUCAGAGGCUGACUGGCUGGCUACAUAUCUGUCUCUGGAACAAUAGGUACCUAUAUUCUGCACGGGCUUCUGGGCAGGCAGCACUAACACUCAGGAGAAGGUCUGCCUCUGUCUGCGCCUUCCUGGUUCAAUGCAGGCAGAUGAGUGUCACAGAUGUAACUGAGGCACUGAAUAAUCAACAUAUCGGAGCCAAUUCCCAGGACGGCAAGAGGGGGAACCGGCAGAGAUGACUGACCCUGGAGGACAAGAGCAUUCUUCUGACAAGUUUUAGCAUGGACUAUCCUCAGGAAAAUGAGAUCCAGGAAGAGUGACGCCCUCCUCGAACUGAAAGAUACUCAGGUUGAUGGAGUCAGGGACGAAGUGGCUUAUCAACAACACAGGAUGUCUGCAGGGAACAGAACUUAUUCAGACAUGGCCCAGAUUGUCUGCCCGUGGGGACUGAGGGACCUCUGAGGGUUACAUCAGGAAGGAAGGAGAGGCUGUUUCUACAGGUGCCACAGAAAAAUCGAUGCUGAGCCUCGGAUUAUUGGAUCCCAUAGAACCGUGGAGACUUGGCAGUGAAAUUCUUCCAAAGCAUUCCAUCUGCGCAGGCAGGCAGAGGUUUUCCUGGUUUGGGAAGUAUAAAUCCCGUGGGAAGUCAACUGGAGGACAUUUUACGCGUCACUCAUCCUAUUAUGAGCCUGCUGCUCCUCCGUCUCUUGACAAGGCCACCAACUAGAAGGGCACAGAAUUGUUCAUAAAACAGCUGAAUGUGAAUGUCUUUGGAUUCCCAUUUAAUGAGCUGUCUGAGAUGCCAACACCACAGAGCACAAUAUCUUUGAGUUGGAAACAUGUCAUUUGCUUGCGUCUCGUCAUCCUUUGGGGUUUUUCUAGACUCCCUGCCUCUUCUGUUUCUCGUCGAUGCUUCCAUUGUAUUCCAGUUGGCAGCUAAAGGACAGGAGCAGCAAUAAGGCUUCCUGGCUACAUUUUCAUGGUGCCACCAACUGCGAGUUAAGCUGACAAACAUUUUGAGAGCUCGGCCCAUUUCAUUCCCAGCAGGAUGGCAGGAGUUAACUAAAACAGAAUAAACUAAAAAUUGUGCCUUCAUUGCACAUUUGCACUGAUUAUCAGCACUGAAAAUGGCUAAGUUCUGCUUAUCAAGGUUAUGCUUCACAUCACCCACCAGGGAGGAUCAUCUCUCAUGAAAACUUUCAAAUUUGAUUUUGAAAAUUUAUUCAGAAAAAUUUAAGCCACGCUCUUUCCCAACACAGGAAAUAAUAUGCUCCAGAGAAUCCUCUAAUUCACCGAAAAUGGACUUGGAUAACAUUUGGGUUCUCAUACUACCACAGUCCUCUUGAGAAGGACAGCCAGGUACACAAAGCAUUUAACAUUCUGACAUUGAAGUAUUGGAAGAAUGAUUAAAAUAAAAAUCUAAUAAUAUGUUUUGAGGAAUUGCUAACAUAGUUUAUGUGGUCCAGGAAGGAGGAAAGAGCCGCUUUCAUUUCUCCACCAUGUCUGGGGAUGUGUUUCUGCUUCUCUUGCUAGAACACAGUGUUUUAACUGCGUGUCAUCUUUCCAUAGCAUUGUUUCUACACAGUUCAUUGUGAUAGCGUUGGUGCCCAUAGCUGAGCUUAUGCACACAGAAAGGAUCAGAUAAAGCAGAAAGCUCAUGCCGUGGUCUAGCUUGGUGUUUCUUGCAGUGCUUUCAUGAUGGAGAUUUUCUUUAUGAAAUUGUCAUUUGUGAGCAAAUUGCUAUUUAAAAAAUAUUAAAUUAGCUAACUAACUUGUCUCU